RNAcentral lists this ribosomal RNA (390 nucleotides) under uncultured bacterium. Its description in RNAcentral is "bacterial SSU rRNA". It matches the Rfam family "Bacterial small subunit ribosomal RNA", at positions 30 to 423 of the family's 1533-position model. The record is from RNAcentral.
UUGAACGCUGGCGGCAGGCCUAACACAUGCAAGUCGAACGGUAACAGGUCUUCGGAUGCUGACGAGUGGCGAACGGGUGAGUAAUACAUCGGAACGUGCCCGAUCGUGGGGGACAACGUUUCGAAAGGAACGCUAAUACCGCAUACGUCCUACGGGAGAAAGCAGGGGACCUUCGGGCCUUGCGCUAAUAGAUGAGCCUAGGUCGGAUUAGCUAGUUGGUGAGGUAAUGGCUCACCAAGGCGACGAUCCGUAACUGGUCUGAGAGGAUGAUCAGUCACACUGGAACUGAGACACGGUCCAGACUCCUACGGGAGGCAGCAGUGGGGAAUAUUGGACAAUGGGCGAAAGCCUGAUCCAGCCAUGCCGCGUGUGUGAAGAAGGUCUUCGGAU